CCUACGGGAGGCAGCAGUGAGGAAUAUUGGUCAAUGGCCGGAAGGCUGAACCAGCCAAGCCGCGUGAAGGACGAAGGUGCCAAGCAUUGUAAACUUCUUUUGUCAAGGGACAAAAUCAGGCUCGAGAGCCUGACCGAGGGUACUUGAAGAAAAAGCAUCGGCUAACUCCGUGCCAGCAGCCGCGGUAAUACGGAGGAUGCGAGCGUUAUCCGGAUUUAUUGGGUUUAAAGGGUGCGUAGGCGGACUGUUAAGUCAGCGGUAAAAGCCCGGGGCUCAACCCCGGUGAGCCGUUGAAACUGGCGGUCUUGAGAUGUCGAGAGGUAUGCGGAAUGCGCAGUGUAGCGGUGAAAUGCUUAGAUAUUGCGCAGAACUCCGAUUGCGAAGGCAGCAUACCGGCGGCGAUCUGACGCUGAGGCACGAAAGCGUGGGUAUCGAACAGGAUUAGAUACCCGGGUAGU
This 458-nucleotide ribosomal RNA is filed under the name uncultured bacterium. RNAcentral's name for it is "partial 16S ribosomal RNA". It matches the Rfam family "Bacterial small subunit ribosomal RNA", at positions 338 to 794 of the family's 1533-position model. The record is from RNAcentral.